RNAcentral lists this long non-coding RNA (1272 nucleotides) under Volvox carteri. RNAcentral's name for it is "long non-coding RNA (VCAR_LNC001929)". The record is from RNAcentral. Lineage: Eukaryota; Viridiplantae; Chlorophyta; Chlorophyceae; Chlamydomonadales; Volvocaceae.
CUGUAGUGCAAUACGGCAAGUGCGGCGCAGGAAGGCGCAGACCAGGAUGGGCCAGAGGACAGGGACUGAUACGGUAGUUCGUUACAAAGAUUAGCUGGGAACAAAGCGCUGAAUCCAGACAACGCAAGUUCACCAGUCAACCGUGCAAGCAAGCGCAAGUCAGAACCCGCCCACCCGCCCAUCGAUGUGGUGGGGACAGGGGAGGAGGACGAGCCACGAUGUGAGCGCCAGGGCUAAGAGGGGCAGCACCAGCAGGAGGCGGAGGCUAGGAUUUGGGACCGGAGCCGCGAGGGACACGAGUGGGCCGAGAGGUGUCGGUAUAACGCUCCAGGACUUGAGUGCUGCGGAUCUGGGAGAACACGUGGAGCUCCGCGUGGGAGGCGCAAGCGGCCUGCGUGGCCUGGAUAGUACCACAACGAAACCCAUGAGGGGUUUGACCGACAUAGACACCAGCCUCCUCCAGGUGUUUGCCCAUUCGCAUGGCUAACAUGCUGCUGGAAAAUGGACGCUCCACAAAGCGUUGGUGACCCUGGUCAGUGGGACGGAAAAGGUAGUCGGAGAUUGCAGACCCUGGGGGGGCGCCGGGGGCAUGGCACAGCUGCCAAUAGAGGGCGAGGGUGCGGAUGAAGCAAUGUCACGGAGAGGAGUCGGGGCGCAGUUCCAACGGGGGAGCUCGGCACCCCUUGGAUGUUUUGGUCCCGAGUUGCUCAAUCCGUAAGGAAAGGGAGGGGUAGGCGCCAAACGGGUCCGGUAGAGGCAGGGGAAACCCACGGAAGGGACCCCCACCACGCGGGUCACGGAAGUCACGUAGCCGCAGUUUGCCUGUGUCAUGGCCGCGGUAGCUGGUGUGCCACAUGACUUUGGAGUGGAAUACCGCAAGAAGUCGUGGGGGUAAAGGAGCGUGUUGACUGGUUGUUGAGUAGACUACCCAUCAGAUGGGAAGCAACCGGGAGUGCAAAUGGCGAAGUAUAAGCACUGGAUGGGGCUGCCCUUUUCGGGAGCCGCAGCCGUCAUGUGGCCAACACAUGCUAAGGUUUUCAUUCCUCGUUUAGCACAUCGUAAGGUAAUGCAGUUUCGUUUAUGUUGUUGGGCUUUCGAGGCAAACAGAGCAUGAAGGGGCAAGUACCACGUCCCCAGGGGGCAGCGGUUUUGCCACUGUUGUGGUACUAAUAGCCGAAUUGAGGAUGUGAACGCCUGUUAAUAGAAUGCCCAGCCUGUAAUGAUAUUCGUGCUGAAGAGGGAUUCGGUCAUCAACAGAGCAUGUUGGAGGCC